This is a long non-coding RNA of Neofelis nebulosa (Clouded leopard), 1623 nucleotides long. RefSeq lists it as uncharacterized. The record is from RefSeq and is a predicted model, not a curated record. The transcript has 4 exons. NCBI's taxonomy places the organism in Eukaryota, Metazoa, Chordata, Mammalia, Carnivora, Felidae.
GCGGUCUGAAACGAAGAGAGAAGCCUCAAGAUGACACAGCCACAGUAACGUCACUGCCUGCCUCGGCAGUAAUAAACAUCUACCCCCGCCGGAAUAAUUUGGCAGCACAGAGGCAAAACUAUUUCAGAGAAGCAGAGGUCGGACGAUGGUUUCUGAAGUGGCUGGCAGGAGAUCGGUUUAGAAUCAUCUCCCUCACCUCUCAUCAGGCAUGUCCCCCUCCCUGGGAGGCUCUCUAAAUCAACAGGGCCAGGACACAGAUUUAGAACCUGGCACCCUUACACAUUUAGAACCACCAGUCCAAUGUAAACAGAAUCAGGGCGUUGGAAUUCUCAACUAUCUACAGAAUUACUGACUUCUACAUCCAGAUGACAGGCUGAGCCCCAAGGAUCUACUCUUGACAACCGACUCUAAUACACAAGACAAGUGAGCCAAGCAAGAUCCUCAGGGGCUGUCGAAAUGAAAUAGCACAUAAUUGCCAAGUCAGGCGGAAGUCUCACCUGUGGCCAUCAGCCACGGAAUCACCUGGCAAUUCUAUUUCCUGGCUGCAACAGCAGAGACAUACUACCAAAGGCCCUUCCCUCUCCCUGUGCCCGCUUCACAAGAGAUGACUAGCUGUUGUGUGUAUAAAAUCAGAAAGCAGAUGAAAGACUGCCCUAACAUUAUGUUGAAUUCAUGGCUACUUUAAGGAAAAAUAUUACCUACUCUCUUUUUGAAAAAUGCUUGUGAAAUUUAAAGUAUCUAGUUUCGUUCUUUUUUUUAAUUGUUCUUUUUUACCCACUUCUCCUCUAGGAAAGAAUAAAUGGAACAUUUUAGCCUCAGCAGAAAAAAAAAUGCUCUGAGUUAUCAGAAAGAAUGAACUUUCUGUUUGUUGUUCUUUAAACAAACAACAAAAUCCAUCCAUGGAAGAGACAACUUCGCUUGGGAAUGGACGUGUAACUACAGGGUAGGACACUUCCUCCUGAGACAGAAGGACCCACCCACAGUUGGCAAUGAUGAGAGAGCUCCAUCACAGCCUCUGGCAACCAUUAGGGAGGCUUGGGAAGAUCCCAAGCAGAAGAGGAGAGGUGUUUCAGAGUCCAAGGAACUGUCCUGCCCUCUCAUCUCAGAAAACCCAUUUUCAACCCUUACACAAACAUCCAUCCAUCCACAUCACCCAACCAUCCCAUCACAGACAGAAGAGGAAAAGACGUGGGUACACUCAGAAAAGAAGGUAUGUGAAGAUAGAGGCAGAGGUUGGAGUGAUGCAGUCACCAGCAAAGGAACAUGUCGAGUCACCAAACCUGGAAGAGGCAAGGAAGGAUUCUCCCCUAGUGCCUUCAGAGGGGACAUGACCGCCCACACCUUGAUUUCAGGCUUCAGGCUUCUAGAAAUAGAUUAAUGGACUCCUUGAAGGCCAGACAGGAUAAACGCUUGGGUCAGUCUACAUGACGUAUACACCAGUCUCAAGUUUAGCAGAGCACGAUGGAACCAAACGACCUAAAGCACAAAUCCGGAGACCCUGGCCCAAACACCCCACUUCCUCAUCUCCAGUAUGGGGAUAAUACCCAUCACAGGAUGGGUAUUACACAAACAGGGUAUUACACAUUACACAGGGUAUUACAGUAAACAGUUUAUCAGCAAGUA